UAGAAACGACGGUCGCUGAGCAAC
Molecule: non-coding RNA, 24 nt
Filed under: Arabidopsis thaliana (thale cress)
Lineage: Eukaryota; Viridiplantae; Streptophyta; Magnoliopsida; Brassicales; Brassicaceae
Source: RNAcentral